This is a long non-coding RNA of Globicephala melas (long-finned pilot whale), 4043 nucleotides long. RefSeq lists it as uncharacterized. Lineage: Eukaryota; Metazoa; Chordata; Mammalia; Artiodactyla; Delphinidae. The record is from RefSeq and is a predicted model, not a curated record.
GACGCGGGCAGAGAACGCUCCAGGCAGCUGCUUUCUGGGGAUUCCAGGCAACGGAAACGGCAUCGGCCCCGCCCCGCCCCCGCCGGCCCAUCCCUGCGUGCCUCCGACACGCCCCUGCCCGGGCUUCAGUGCGCCUGCGUGGAGCCCGGCCGGUCCGAGUUCUCGCAGCCUGGGAGGGGCGCGGCUCCCUGAGGGCCCCGGGGACAGCCUGGCCUUCGCGCAGCGGGAGGGCGUGGGGAGUUGUCCAGGACUCCGUGUUUGGGAUCGCUGGGGCCUCCCUCCCCUCUGUGGCCGCAGGAACGCGGGCCUCACCCGGUGCUCGGCCUUAACGGUGUAGGGGCGUGAAGACCAGACAGUCUCUGCGGGCAAGGACAGCGCGUCUUUGACCACGGUUUAGAAUUCCCAAGUUUAUUUUUAAGUUUGUUUAAAAAAAAAAGUGUCAAUCGUUGCUUCCUAGAUGGCCUUCUCUUAAAUGUAUAUAUCUCGAUGGUGACUUGCUUGGGAAAUUUAGAAACCUCCGCCUGGGAUCGGUUCCUAUUUUCAGAACCAGCCUAGAACUUUCAAAUAACUUAAAUUUGAGCCAUUCCCUAUUAUUAGUUAAACGUAAAAUACAUGAGUAUGAGAGAGAGAAAGACAGACGGAGACAGACACUACAGGAGAUUGUACUAGGCUGGUGCAGAGAAUGCAAAGACAGAAAGACAGUGCCCUCCUCAGACUUACUAGCGUGGCGAGAGGGGCGGCACCGGGCGGGCGCCGGGAAGCAAGAGGACAGAAGCCGGCAACCCUAGACGCAGUAAGAUAUUCUAGGAUGAGAAGCGCAAAGUGCUGUGGAGAUUCAAGGGAAUGAUACACCUGCUACGUAAUACAAUCCCACACUUUACUGUUAUUUGGUCCUUUGAGGAUUUUUCAAUUUUGGAAAUAAGUUGCAUCCAUAGAGCUACGUCUUUGAAGGUUACCUGGCCUCACCUGGCACAUAGCGGCGUCCUGAGGGAUGAGAGUGUAGGAUGGGGAAAGGCCUGUAUUGCCAAACUGCAACACUGGAAUCCAGAGAAGCUCAUUUCUCUGCUCAUUUGGAAACCCCGAGGCACUGAGGACGCAUACGGAUUUUCCAUCCCUUAAGUGAUGUAUUGGUUGAAAGCCACAAUGCAUUAUAGAUGGGCGUUCCUGGAACAAUGGCUUUUUCUCCAAGGUCACAGUUCUCUUCCAGGACAUCACUGAAAAUGAGAAGAGCACAAACAUAUGCUCGGUGGGGCAGCCUUCCUGAGGAGUCUUGCCAUUUCACAUUUUCCCUAACAACUCAGAAAACAAGCACUCACAGAGGAAGGACAUAAUCUGAAACAUUUCUUUCUAAUUCCCUCCUGCUCAGAACAAACCUUGAGAUCACCAUUUUGCAGCCUACCACGGAAAACACAGUCUCAUCAUAGAACGUACACGUCAAAGUACAGCACUUUUUUAUUUCUAUAGAACAAGUUGAGUACCUGCUUCACAGUUUAUCAGUUCCAUUGAUAAUGAGAACAAUAUAAGCAACUGCCUAGCUUCUGAGUCACAUGAUAUUUGAUUAUUGUUCUUUUCCCAGACAAAGAUACCAAGUAGUAAAAUUAUGGGCCCAGUGACUAAUGACAAGCUACAUUAUCUCUAAGUCGGUUUCAGACUAAGUUUAUCAGGGGUUACCUGUGUCUGACCAGCCACCCCAGCUGCCAAGUACUCAUUGCUGUGGCAGGCUGUUCCUCUAUUUAAUCCACUCCAGGGGCCCUUUCUCAGGAGGGUAUAACCCAGAGAACCCACCACUGCCACUAGGGUGCUUCCCCUGUAUGUAACAUCGACCUCUGUUGUUGUUCCUAUCCCAUUUCAUGGAAAAUCUGUUCACAUAUCUGUCCUGCACACUAGAUUGUGAACUCUUUGAGGACUUAUGUCUUAUUUAUCUCCAGAGUUUCAGUGCCUAGAGCAAAAUAACUGUUCACUGUGUGUUUGUUGAGCCAGUGAACAAAACAAUGAACGGCCAUCAGUUAGGCCCAGUGGUUAAAAAGAUGCACUCUGGUGGCAGAUGUCUGUGGUUUUCAGGUCUGGCUGCCCCACCUUUCAACUGUGAGACAUGGCAUAAUUAACCCAUCUGUGCCUCAGUUAAUCUGUUAAGUGGGGUUAAGAAUAGAACUUCCUGCAUAGGUUUGUUGAGUAGUGUGUAUGAAGCAUGUAGAAAAAUGUAGGCACACUAAUGUUUAAUACCUGUUCACUGUGGUUGAUAUCGUCAUUAAUAUGAUUAUUAUUACUAGGCAAUAAUAAUACCGCUACUAAUACUGGAAUAAUUCCUGACAUGGGUUCAAGUUCUUUAUACCAGAGCCUUUGACAGUAAGGAGGCAAGCCAGAUAUAUUCCACAUGGUGGACAGACAGCUGAGUGAUGUUUGAAAUGCACUAUGUCAUCUGUGAACAAAAUGUAGCUGAUAUUGGGCAAGUACUUCAUAUGAGCCAGGCAUGUAUUAGAUGUUUUAUAUAUGUGACCUCUUUUUUUUUAAUAGAGUUUAAUUUUUAGAAGUUUUAGGUUCACAACAAAACUGAGGGGAAGGUACAGAGAUUUCCAGUUUACCCCCUGCUCCCACACAUGCGUAGCCUCCACAGUUAUCAACAUCCCCAACUAGAGUGGUACAUUUGUUACAACUGAUGAACCUGCACUGACACAUCACAAUCACCUCAAGACUAUAGCUUAUACUUGGGUUCACUCUUGGUGUUGUACAUUCUGUGGGUUUGGACAAAUGUAUAAUGACACGUCUCCAUCAUUAUAGUAUCAUACACAGUAGUUUCACUGUGCCAAAAAUCCAUUGUAUGUGACCUCUUUUCAUUUUCAAAACAACUAUGAGAACAAUUAUUCUUCAUCCCAUUUUUAAAAGAUGAGAAAAAUGAGGCUUGGAGAGGUUAAACAAUUUACUAAAGAUUAUACAUUAACAAGUGGAUUAUCUGGCCCCAGAGUCCAUGAGCUUUCUGUUCCUGGUUGCUUUCCAAUGGAACAAGCAGAGAGCAGAUGAAUCACAGGAGUAUGAUUAAUGUUCCCUAGAGCAGCACCCAAUUUAUGAGGACAUAAGCCAGUGUCACCAGGCCUCUUCAGCCUGUGGUGCUAAUGAGGUCCCAUGAACAGUAACAUACAAAUAAUGGUGGUUCUUAGGCCUCCUUCCAGCCCUGAAUGAAGCCCCUUGGAUAUAUUUCUGGGAGUUGAAGUACACAAUUCUUUGAAAAAAUAUAUUAAUGAAAAUCACUAUUAAAUUAUUACACAAUCAUAAUUAAGUAAUAACGCACAACAUUUCCCCAAGGUGUCUGAACUACACUCUGCCCAGCUACAAAACUCGAAGGAGGGACUUCAUAUAUUCUAACCCAUGGUCAGCCACAGCUCAUUUCUCAAAGAGGCAUUGAUGUAACUCGGUGUUUUUAAAUCACAACAUUGUUUUGAAAUCACUAAAACCAUCAAGUUGUAAAUACUAUUAUCUUCAUCUUAUGGGUGGAGAAACAGCAUUUUUGAGAGUUAAAUGCCUUGUCUAAAGUCCUAUAGUUAAUAAGGAGCGGAGUAGGAUUGAAACUCAGAUUUGCAGCUUCCACACUGACUCUCUGACAACCAGCUGUGGAAAAGCUUUGUGACAGGCACUGUACCAAGGGCUAGAGGUGGAAAAGUGAGUAAGACAUAGUUCCUACCCUUGCUGGGGAGACAGACCUAUGAAUAAUUAUAAUAAUAUGUAAAUAUGGUGGUAGAAGAUAUACAUAAAAUACCACUGGAACACAUGGAAUUCUUUAAAAGGAUGUGACAUUUGAGCUGGGUGUUGGAGGGUGAGUAGGAGUUUGCCCAGAAAGGGAAGUACGUUGUAAGCAGAAGGCAAGGCUUGUGCGUGGAGUGUGAGGGAAUCAGGUUGAGUGAUUUCUUGAUUCACGCUGCAUUUUAAAAGGUGAGACAUUUUAAAUUAUGUUAUUCAUGACACAAUACUAAUAAACCUUGCAAAAGUGUCCUUUAAGCAUGUCUACUCGGUAAGUCCUAAAAUAUAUGUAACUAAUUAAAGUCACUUAA